GUGAGUUGUUAUUACAAACUAAUUAGCAUGUCUGUGUCCAUGUAUAAAGUGAUCUUUUUGUAAAGAAACGUUAAACUGGUCAGCUACCCCCAUCGCCGAUAUUGACAAGAAAGGAACUUUCCCUUAGAUCAAUUAAAUGCACCUUUCUCAAAUAAUUACGGCCACAAAAUCGAAACUGCCAUUCUGUAGCUAAACUGUUUAAUUAAAUAAUAGUUUUAAAGCCUUUCACCAG
This 232-nucleotide long non-coding RNA is filed under the name Mytilus galloprovincialis (Mediterranean mussel). The record is from RNAcentral. Lineage: Eukaryota; Metazoa; Mollusca; Bivalvia; Mytilida; Mytilidae.